This 652-nucleotide ribosomal RNA is filed under the name Serratia nematodiphila. RNAcentral describes it as "bacterial SSU rRNA". It matches the Rfam family "Bacterial small subunit ribosomal RNA", at positions 774 to 1426 of the family's 1533-position model. The record is from RNAcentral. Lineage: Bacteria; Pseudomonadati; Pseudomonadota; Gammaproteobacteria; Enterobacterales; Yersiniaceae.
AGGAUUAGAUACCCUGGUAGUCCACGCUGUAAACGAUGUCGAUUUGGAGGUUGUGCCCUUGAGGCGUGGCUUCCGGAGCUAACGCGUUAAAUCGACCGCCUGGGGAGUACGGCCGCAAGGUUAAAACUCAAAUGAAUUGACGGGGGCCCGCACAAGCGGUGGAGCAUGUGGUUUAAUUCGAUGCAACGCGAAGAACCUUACCUACUCUUGACAUCCAGAGAACUUUCCAGAGAUGGAUUGGUGCCUUCGGGAACUCUGAGACAGGUGCUGCAUGGCUGUCGUCAGCUCGUGUUGUGAAAUGUUGGGUUAAGUCCCGCAACGAGCGCAACCCUUAUCCUUUGUUGCCAGCGGUUCGGCCGGGAACUCAAAGGAGACUGCCAGUGAUAAACUGGAGGAAGGUGGGGAUGACGUCAAGUCAUCAUGGCCCUUACGAGUAGGGCUACACACGUGCUACAAUGGCGUAUACAAAGAGAAGCGACCUCGCGAGAGCAAGCGGACCUCAUAAAGUACGUCGUAGUCCGGAUUGGAGUCUGCAACUCGACUCCAUGAAGUCGGAAUCGCUAGUAAUCGUAGAUCAGAAUGCUACGGUGAAUACGUUCCCGGGCCUUGUACACACCGCCCGUCACACCAUGGGAGUGGGUUGCAAAAGAAG